UCCCGUGUGGCUCAGUUGGUAGAGCAUGGCACUUGCAACGCCAGGUUUGUGGGUUUGAUUCCCACGGGGGGAC
Molecule: transfer RNA, 73 nt
Filed under: Salmo salar (Atlantic salmon)
Lineage: Eukaryota; Metazoa; Chordata; Actinopteri; Salmoniformes; Salmonidae
Also listed under: 1 other name
Rfam family: tRNA
About the family: Transfer RNA (tRNA) molecules are approximately 80 nucleotides in length. Their secondary structure includes four short double-helical elements and three loops (D, anti-codon, and T loops).
Source: Rfam by way of RNAcentral